This 464-nucleotide ribosomal RNA is filed under the name uncultured bacterium. RNAcentral's name for it is "partial 16S ribosomal RNA". It matches the Rfam family "Bacterial small subunit ribosomal RNA", at positions 28 to 506 of the family's 1533-position model. The record is from RNAcentral.
GACGAACGCUGGCGGCGUGCUUAACACAUGCAAGUCGUACGGUAAGGCCCUUUCGGGGGUACACGAGUGGCGAACGGGUGAGUAACACGUGAGUAACCUGCCCACAACUUUGGGAUAACGCUAGGAAACUGGUGCUAAUACUGGAUAUGUGCUCCUGCUGCAUGGUGGGGGUUGGAAAGCUCCGGCGGUUGUGGAUGGACUCGCGGCCUAUCAGCUUGUUGGUGGGGUAGUGGCCUACCAAGGCGGCGACGGGUAGCCGGCCUGAGGGGGUGACCGGCUACAUUGGGACUGAGAUACGGCCCAGACUCCUACGGGAGGCAGCAGUGGGGAAUAUUGCACAAUGGGCGCAAGCCUGAUGCAGCAACGCCGCGUGCGGGAUGACGGCCUUCGGGUUGUAAACCGCUUUCAGCAGGGACGAAGCUUUUUGUGACGGUACCUGCAGAAGAAGCACCGGCUAACUACGU